CUCUAUUGGUGUUUUGUGGGUGAGCCCAGAAUAAGGGAAAGGUGAACCUCAUUUCUUCCAAGAACUACACAGAAGUGUCAGGCAAGACCCAUGGCUGUUAUAAGGGGCUGGGAGGGACCUCCAGGGAUCACCAAGCACAGAUCUCCUCCUCCCGACAGCAAGCUACACAGUGAGCCCAGAACUGGAUACAGUACUCCAGGUGAGUCCUGACCAGGACAGAGUAGAGGAGGGAACCACCUCCCUUGAUGUGCAGGCCAUGCUCCUUUUAAUGCAGCCCAGGAUGCCAUUGGCCCUUUUGGCCACCAGGUGGCACAAUGCUGGCUCAUUCCCAACCUGUCAUCC
Molecule: long non-coding RNA, 342 nt
Organism: Lagopus muta (rock ptarmigan)
Lineage: Eukaryota; Metazoa; Chordata; Aves; Galliformes; Phasianidae
Exons: 4
Source: RefSeq, a predicted model, not a curated record